RNAcentral lists this ribosomal RNA (500 nucleotides) under uncultured bacterium. RNAcentral's name for it is "partial 16S ribosomal RNA". It matches the Rfam family "Bacterial small subunit ribosomal RNA", at positions 30 to 523 of the family's 1533-position model. The record is from RNAcentral.
AUUGAACGCUGGCGGAAUGCUUUACACAUGCAAGUCGAACGAUGAACCUUAGCUUGCUAAGGGGAUUAGUGGCGAACGGGUGAGUAAUGUAUCGGAACGUAUCAAAUAAUGGGGGAUAACUAGUCGAAAGAUUAGCUAAUACCGCAUACGUUCUACGGGAGAAAGCUAGGGACCUUCCGGCCUGGCGUGAAUGGAGCGCCCGAUAUCUGAUUAGCUAGUUGGUGGGGUAAAGGCUCACCAAGGGGACGAUCAGUAGCUGUUCUGAGAGGACGACCAGCCACACUGGAACUGAGACACGGUCCAGACUCCUACGGGAGGCAGCAGUGGGGAAUUUUGGACAAUGGGCGAAAGCCUGAUCCAGCCAUUCCGCGUGAGUGAAGAAGGCCUUCGGGUUGUAAAGCUCUUUCGCAAGGGAAGAAAACUUAAGCUCUAACAUAGCUUGAGGUUGGCGGUACCUUGAUAAGAAGCACCGGCUAACUACGUGCCAGCCGCCGCGGUAA